Molecule: ribosomal RNA, 768 nt
Filed under: uncultured bacterium
Lineage: Bacteria
Description: bacterial SSU rRNA
Rfam family: Bacterial small subunit ribosomal RNA
Source: RNAcentral
CAGUCGAACGAGCGAGAGAGAGCUUGCUUUCUUGAGCGAGUGGCGAACGGGUGCGUAACGCGUGAGGAACCUGCCUCAAAGAGGGGGACAACAGUUGGAAACGACUGCUAAUACCGCAUAAGCCCACGACCCGGCAUCGGGUAGAGGGAAAAGGAGCAAUCCGCUUUGAGAUGGCCUCGCGUCCGAUUAGCUAGUUGGUGAGGUAACGGCCCACCAAGGCGACGAUCGGUAGCCGGACUGAGAGGUUGAACGGCCACAUUGGGACUGAGACACGGCCCAGACUCCUACGGGAGGCAGCAGUGGGGAAUAUUGCACAAUGGGGGAAACCCUGAUGCAGCGACGCCGCGUGGAGGAAGAAGGUCUUCGGAUUGUAAACUCCUGUUGUUGAGGAAGAUAAUGACGGUACUCAACAAGGAAGUGACGGCUAACUACGUGCCAGCAGCCGCGGUAAAACGUAGGUCACAAGCGUUGUCCGGAAUUACUGGGUGUAAAGGGAGCGCAGGCGGGAAGGCAAGUUGGAAGUGAAAUCCAUGGGCUCAACCCAUGAACUGCUUUCAAAACUGUUUUUCUUGAGUAGUGCAGAGGUAGGCGGAAUUCCCGGUGUAGCGGUGGAAUGCGUAGAUAUCGGGAGGAACACCAGUGGCGAAGGCGGCCUACUGGGCACCAACUGACGCUGAGGCUCGAAAGUGUGGGUAGCAAACAGGAUUAGAUACCCUGGUAGUCCACACUGUAAACGAUGAUUACUAGGUGUUGGAGGAUUGACCCCUU